GUGAUUCCGAGUAACGCUUGCACCCUCCGUAUUACCGCGGCUGCUGGCACGGAGUUAGCCGGUGCUUAUUCGUUAGAUACCGUCAUUAUCUUCUCUAACAAAAGGAGUUUACAAUCCUAAAACCUUCAUCCUCCACGCGGCGUUGCUGCUUCAGGGUUUCCCCCAUUGAGCAAUAUUCCCUACUGCUGCCUCCCGUAGGAGUCUGGACCGUGUCUCAGUUCCAGUGUGUCCGUUCACCCUCUCAGGCCGGAUACCCGUCAUAGCCUUGGUAAGCCAUUACCUUACCAACAAGCUGAUAGGACAUAGGCUGAUCUCUUAGCGAUAAAUCUUUCCCCCGUAGGGAGUAUCUGGUAUUAAUCAUCGUUUCCAAUGGCUAUCCCAAACUAAGAGGCACAUGACCUAUGCGUUACUCACCCGUGCGCCACUAAUCCACUUCUAGCAAGCUAGAAGCUUCAUCG
This 458-nucleotide ribosomal RNA is filed under the name Helicobacter pylori Hp P-2. RNAcentral describes it as "partial 23S ribosomal RNA". Lineage: Bacteria; Pseudomonadati; Campylobacterota; Epsilonproteobacteria; Campylobacterales; Helicobacteraceae. The record is from RNAcentral.